Molecule: long non-coding RNA, 632 nt
Filed under: Capsicum annuum
Lineage: Eukaryota; Viridiplantae; Streptophyta; Magnoliopsida; Solanales; Solanaceae
Description: long non-coding RNA (CANN_LNC000150)
Source: RNAcentral
UUUUGUAAAAAAAGAAGAAGAAAAUCUCAAAUUUCAUAUAAAAGGAAUGUAUUCCAUUGAACCAGAAAAAUAUUUCAUUUCCUAAACUAGUCUCUAGAAUUUAUUUUUUUUUGGUUCUCAUUCGGUGUUUAGUGACCGCAUUGAAGCCCCAAGUAAUCCGGAUGUGCGUUGCAGGGCCCAUUAUAGGCGACAGCGUUCCCAACAGAGUUUCUCCAUACCCAGAGUCGAAUCCGAGACCUCUGGUUAAGGAUGAAGCAGUCUCAUCCAAUGCACCAGAAUCCAUGUUGGUAGUCUCUAGAAUUUAUUAACUUUUUGGUUUUUCAACCGGUGUUCGGUGAUAGCAUUGAAGCCCCCAACUAAUCCGGAUGCGCGUUGCAAGGCUCAUUAUAGUCGACAGCGCUCCCAACAGAGUUUCUCCAUACCCAGGAUCGAAUUCGAGACCUCUGAUUAAGGGUGAAACAAUCUCAUCCAAUGCACCACAACACUUAUAGUCUCUAGAAUUACAAAAGGCCGCCACUCACAAAACUGCACCACUUGUUAUAAGAUCAAAAUUAGCCUCACUUUGAAGAAAGAAAAUAAAUGCGAUUUUGAAUACAUGAUGACGAAUGAAAAAGACUUGACUUUUUGUCGAC